GACGAACGCUGGCGGCGUGCUUAACACGUGCAAGUCGAACGGUAAGGCUCCAGCUUGCUGGGGUACACGAGUGGCGAACGGGUGAGUAACACGUGGGUGACCUGCCCUGCACUUCGGGAUAAGCCUGGGAAACUGGGUCUAAUACCGGAUAGGACCAUGGUGUGGAUACUGUGGUGGAAAGUUUUUUCGGUGUGGGAUGGGCCCGCGGCCUAUCAGCUUGUUGGUGGGGUAAUGGCCUACCAAGGCGGCGACGGGUAGCCGGCCUGAGAGGGUGGACGGCCACAUUGGGACUGAGACACGGCCCAGACUCCUACGGGAGGCAGCAGUGGGGAAUAUUGCACAAUGGGCGGAAGCCUGAUGCAGCGACGCCGCGUGGGGGAUGACGGCCUUCGGGUUGUAAACUCCUUUCACCAUCGACGAAGGGUUUCUGACGGUAGAUGGAGAAGAAGCACCGGCUAACUACGUG
RNAcentral lists this ribosomal RNA (466 nucleotides) under uncultured bacterium. RNAcentral's name for it is "partial 16S ribosomal RNA". It matches the Rfam family "Bacterial small subunit ribosomal RNA", at positions 28 to 507 of the family's 1533-position model. The record is from RNAcentral.